This 433-nucleotide ribosomal RNA is filed under the name uncultured bacterium. Its description in RNAcentral is "partial 16S ribosomal RNA". It matches the Rfam family "Bacterial small subunit ribosomal RNA", at positions 29 to 507 of the family's 1533-position model. The record is from RNAcentral.
AACGAACGCUGGCGGCAUGCCUAACACAUGCAAGUCGAACGAGACCUUCGGGUCUAGUGGCGCACGGGUGCGUAACGCGUGGGAACCUGCCUUUAGGUUCGGAAUAACUCAGAGAAAUUUGAGCUAAUACCGGAUGAUGACUUCGGACCAAAGAUUUAUCGCCUUUAGAUGGGCCCGCGUUGGAUUAGCUAGUUGGUGGGGUAAAGGUCUACCAAGGCGACGAUCCAUAGCUGGUCUGAGAGGAUGAUCAGCCACACUGGGACUGAGACACGGCCCAGACUCCUACGGGAGGCAGCAGUGGGGAAUAUUGGACAAUGGGCGAAAGCCUGAUCCAGCAAUGCCGCGUGAGUGAUGAAGGCCUUAGGGUUGUAAAGCUCUUUUACCCGAGAUGAUAAUGACAGUAUCGGGAGAAUAAGCUCCGGCUAACUCCGUG